This 466-nucleotide ribosomal RNA is filed under the name uncultured bacterium. RNAcentral's name for it is "bacterial SSU rRNA". It matches the Rfam family "Bacterial small subunit ribosomal RNA", at positions 339 to 797 of the family's 1533-position model. The record is from RNAcentral.
UUACGGGAGGCAGCAGUAGGGAAUCUUCCGCAAUGGACGAAAGUCUGACGGAGCAACGCCGCGUGAGUGAUGAAGGCUUUCGGGUCGUAAAACUCUGUUGUUAGGGAAGAACAAGUACGAGAGUAACUGCUCGUACCUUGACGGUACCUAACCAGAAAGCCACGGCUAACUACGUGCCAGCAGCCGCGGUAAUACGUAGGUGGCAAGCGUUAUCCGGAAUUAUUGGGCGUAAAGCGCGCGCAGGCGGUUUCUUAAGUCUGAUGUGAAAGCCCACGGCUCAACCGUGGAGGGUCAUUGGAAACUGGGGAACUUGAGUGCAGAAGAGAAAAGCGGAAUUCCACGUGUAGCGGUGAAAUGCGUAGAGAUGUGGAGGAACACCAGUGGCGAAGGCGGCUUUUUGGUCUGUAACUGACGCUGAGGCGCGAAAGCGUGGGGAGCAAACAGGAUUAGAAACCCCAGUAGUCCA